This 322-nucleotide ribosomal RNA is filed under the name Sandonidae sp. RNAcentral's name for it is "SSU rRNA". The stretch from base 62 to 322 matches the Rfam family "Eukaryotic small subunit ribosomal RNA", at positions 694 to 955 of the family's 1831-position model. Lineage: Eukaryota; Cercozoa; Glissomonadida; Sandonidae. The record is from RNAcentral.
GAUUUCUGGCUUGAAACAUUUUGCCGGCCACGGUUUCGUGUGUUAGUGCUUGGUGUUCUGGCCAUCCUUCCAAUCGCUAUUCAUUCUUCUUCAUUGAGGGGUGAGUGGUAUUGGAUCUUUUACUUUGAAAAAAUUAGAGUGUUUAAAGCAGGCUUUUUGCUAUGAAUACAUUAGCAUGGAAUAAUAAUUUAGGACUUUGCUCCUAUUUUAUUGGUUUCUAGGGGUAAAGUAAUGAUUGAUAGGGAUAGUUGGGGGUGCUCGAAUUCAGCGGCCAGAGGUGAAAUUCUUGGAUUCGCUGAAGACUAACUUAAGCGAAAGCAUU